This is a small nuclear RNA of Eptesicus fuscus (big brown bat), 133 nucleotides long. RefSeq annotates it as U12 minor spliceosomal RNA. Lineage: Eukaryota; Metazoa; Chordata; Mammalia; Chiroptera; Vespertilionidae. The record is from RefSeq and is a predicted model, not a curated record. The transcript has a single exon.
CUGCCCCCUCCGCCCCACAUAACGAUUCGGGGUGAUGCCCGAAUCCUCACUGCUAAUGUGAGAUGAAUUUUUGAGCAGGUAAAGGUUACCCCUAAGGUGACAAGCGGGAUGCCUGGGGGUUGCGAUCUGCCCG